This 78-nucleotide transfer RNA is filed under the name Candidatus Bathyarchaeota archaeon. RNAcentral's name for it is "tRNA-Glu". It matches the Rfam family "tRNA". From Rfam's summary of the family: Transfer RNA (tRNA) molecules are approximately 80 nucleotides in length. Their secondary structure includes four short double-helical elements and three loops (D, anti-codon, and T loops). RNAcentral also lists the same sequence under 2 other names. Lineage: Archaea; Thermoproteati; Candidatus Bathyarchaeota. The record is from RNAcentral.
GCUCCGGUAGUAUAGUCCGGUCAAGUAUUUCGGCCUUUCGAGCCGAAGACCCGGGUCCGAAUCCCGGCCGGAGCACCA